RNAcentral lists this ribosomal RNA (350 nucleotides) under uncultured bacterium. RNAcentral describes it as "partial 16S ribosomal RNA". It matches the Rfam family "Bacterial small subunit ribosomal RNA", at positions 338 to 703 of the family's 1533-position model. The record is from RNAcentral.
CCUACGGGUGGCAGCAGUGGGGAAUAUUGGGCAAUGGACGCAAGUCUGACCCAGCAACGCCGCGUGAAGGAAGAAGGCUUGCGGGGUGUAAACGUCUGUUAAGGGGGAAGAGCAGAAGACGGUACCCCUGGAAGAAGCCACGGCUAACGACGGGCCAGCAGCCGCGGUAAUACGGAGGUGGCAAGCGUUGGCCGGAUUUACUGGGUGGAAAGGGCGUGCAGCCGGAGAGACAAGUCAGAUGGGAAAUCCACGGGCUCAACCCGUGAACGGCAUUUGAAACUGUUUCCCUUGAGUGUCGGAGAGGUAAUCGGCAUUCCUUUUGUAGCGGUGAACUGCGUAGAUCUCAGGCA